RNAcentral lists this transfer RNA (72 nucleotides) under Ornithorhynchus anatinus (platypus). It matches the Rfam family "tRNA". Rfam says of the family: Transfer RNA (tRNA) molecules are approximately 80 nucleotides in length. Their secondary structure includes four short double-helical elements and three loops (D, anti-codon, and T loops). Lineage: Eukaryota; Metazoa; Chordata; Mammalia; Monotremata; Ornithorhynchidae. The record is from Rfam by way of RNAcentral.
AGCAGCGUGGCUUAGUGGAAAGAGCACGGGCUUGGGAGUCAGAGGUUGUGGGUUCUAAUCACACCUCUGCUA